This 59-nucleotide transfer RNA is filed under the name Camelus bactrianus (Bactrian camel). It matches the Rfam family "tRNA", at positions 7 to 64 of the family's 71-position model. Rfam says of the family: Transfer RNA (tRNA) molecules are approximately 80 nucleotides in length. Their secondary structure includes four short double-helical elements and three loops (D, anti-codon, and T loops). RNAcentral also lists the same sequence under 2 other names. The record is from Rfam by way of RNAcentral. Lineage: Eukaryota; Metazoa; Chordata; Mammalia; Artiodactyla; Camelidae.
AUAGCUCAGUGGUAGAGUACAUGCUUAGCAUGCAUGAGGUCCUGGGUUCAAUCCCCAUU